UGCUAGUCGACGCACAGAACUAUGUCUGUGAGUGGCAUACUGCUCAGUAACACGUAGCUAACCUACCCUUAGGACGUUCACAACCCCGAGAAAUUGGGGCUAAUAGACGAUAGAUGUGAUGUCCUGGAAUGGUAUUACGUCUAAAGGUAUUCCAUACAUGUUUGGUAUAUGCCUAAGGAUGGGGCUGCGGCCGAUCAGGCUGUUGGUGAGGUAAUGGCUCACCAAACCUUUGACCGGUACGGGCCAUGAGAGUGGUAGCCCGGAGAUGGACACUGAGACAAGGGUCCAGGCCCUACGGGGCGCAGCAGGCGCGAAACCUCCUCAAUGCACUAACGUGCGAAGGGGUUACCUCGAGUGCUAUCUGAAGAAGGUGGCUUUUCCUUGGUCUAAAUAGCCUUGGGAAUAAGAGGGGGGCAAGACUGGUGUCAGCCGCCGCGGUAACACCAGCCCCCCCAGGGGUGGGGGAUGAUUUUUUGGCCUAAAGCGUCCGUAGCCGGCCAGAUAAGUUUCCCGUUAAAUCCUAGCGUCUCAGGCGUUAGACUGCGGGAAAUACUUUCUGGCUAGAGAGUGGGAGAGGUCAGCGGUAUUCUGGGGGUAGGGGCGAAAUCCUUUGAUCCCCGGAGGACCACCAGUGGCGAAAGGCUGCUGACUAGAACACGUCUGACGGUCAGGACGAAAGCUGGGGUAGCGAACCGGAUUAGAUACCCGGGUAGUCCCAGCCGUAAACGAUGCAUGCUAGUGUUGGUUGCCACGAGCCACCCCAGUGCCGCAGGGCGUAGCAUGCCGCUGGGUACGAUCGCAAGUGAACUAAAGAUGCG
RNAcentral lists this ribosomal RNA (818 nucleotides) under uncultured crenarchaeote. Its description in RNAcentral is "bacterial SSU rRNA". It matches the Rfam family "Archaeal small subunit ribosomal RNA", at positions 52 to 867 of the family's 1478-position model. The record is from RNAcentral. Lineage: Archaea; Thermoproteati; Thermoproteota.